Molecule: ribosomal RNA, 475 nt
Filed under: uncultured bacterium
Lineage: Bacteria
Description: bacterial SSU rRNA
Rfam family: Bacterial small subunit ribosomal RNA
Source: RNAcentral
GAUCAUGGCUCAGAAUGAACGUUGGCGGCGUGGAUUAGGCAUGCAAGUCGAGCGCUCAUCAGCAAUGGUGGGAGCGGCGAACGGCGUAGUAAUGUGUAGGAACGUACCCUCUGGUCGGGGAUAGCUACGGGAAACUGUAGGUAAUACCCGAUGAUCUCUGUGGAGCAAAGGUGUGAUUCCGCCGGGGGAGCGGCUUACAUGAUAUUAGCUAGUUGGUGGGGUAAUGGCCUACCAAGGCUUAGAUGUCUAGGGGGUGUGAGAGCAUGGCCCCCACGACCGGAACUGAGAUACUGUCCGGACACCUACGGGUGGCUGCAGUCGAGAAUCUUCCGCAAUGGACGAAAGUCUGACGGAGCGACGCCGCGUGCGGGAUGAAGGCCCUUGGGUUGUAAACCGCUGUCAGAGGGGAUGAAAUCUCCGAGGGUUAUCCCUCGGAGUUGACAGAGCCUCAGAGGAAGCACGGGCUAAGUAUGUG